Molecule: ribosomal RNA, 315 nt
Filed under: uncultured eukaryote
Lineage: Eukaryota
Description: partial 18S ribosomal RNA
Rfam family: Eukaryotic small subunit ribosomal RNA
Source: RNAcentral
CCCUUAGACGUUCUGGGCCGCACGCGCGCUACACUGACCAGUGCAACAAGCAUCCGUCCUUGGCCGACAGGCCCGGGCAAUCUUUGAACGCUGGUCGUGAUGGGGAUAGACUUUUGCAAUUUUUGGUCUUCAACGAGGAAUUCCUAGUAAACGCAAGACAUCAACUUGCAUUGAUUACGUCCCUGCCCUUUGUACACACCGCCCGUCGCACCUACCGAUUGAAUGGUCCGGUGAAGCCUCCGGAUUGGCGCGCACCUCGGUGCCGCCGAGAAGUUGGCUAAACCUUACCAUUUAGAGGAAGGUGAAGUCGUAACA